AUUGAACGCUGGCGGCAUGCUUUACACAUGCAAGUCGAACGGUAACAGGCCUUCGGGUGCUGACGAGUGGCGAACGGGUGAGUAAUGCAUCGGAACGUACCCAGAGGUGGGGGAUAACGCAGCGAAAGCUGUGCUAAUACCGCAUGUGAUCUGAGGAUGAAAGCGGGGGAGCGAGCAGCAAUGUUUGGCCUCGCGCCUUUGGAGCGGCCGAUGUCGGAUUAGCUAGUUGGUGGGGUAAAGGCCUACCAAGGCGACGAUCCGUAGCUGGUCUGAGAGGACGACCAGCCACACUGGGACUGAGACACGGCCCAGACUCCUACGGGAGGCAGCAGUGGGGAAUUUUGGACAAUGGGCGCAAGCCUGAUCCAGCAAUGCCGCGUGCGGGAAGAAGGCCUUCGGGUUGUAAACCGCUUUUGGCAGGAACGAAACGGUGUCCGCUAAUACCGGGCGCUAAUGACGGUACCUGCAGAAUAAGCACCGGCUAACUACGUG
This 492-nucleotide ribosomal RNA is filed under the name uncultured bacterium. RNAcentral describes it as "partial 16S ribosomal RNA". It matches the Rfam family "Bacterial small subunit ribosomal RNA", at positions 29 to 507 of the family's 1533-position model. The record is from RNAcentral.